GAAGAGCCUAAGUAGAAACACACCAGCCUGAAGAAGCCAGAAGUGUUGGGAGGGCAGGGGGUUAUUCACCUCUGUCUGCCUAUUAUUAUGUUGAGUAUUAGCUCGGCAAAAGUAGGUGCCAAAUUUACCUUUGGAUGAAUGAACAUGCAAAGACCUAUUAAGUAUAAGGUCUUGUCCAAGGUUCUCAAGGCUUAUUAUUUUUUGAUGGAUACAUCCUAUCAUAUUCCCUCUGCCUUAUAGAAUUCCUUCAUCUAAAGACAGCUAGCAGAGGAUAACAGAGUAGAGAUGACCAUCUCCCAUUAUAGAAUUGUCUAAACAUUGCUCCCUUGCUCCGAAAACUCAGUUGACUGUUUAUCAAAUAUUUACGAUAAUCAGCCACUUAAAACUGCACUAAGAAAAGUCUGGUUUUGUUUGUUUGUUUCGUUUUUAAGUGCUGAGGAUUGAACCAAAGGCCUCAAACAUGCCAGGCAAGUACUCUACCACUGAGCUACAUCUCCAGCCCUAAAGUCCCUCUUUGGAAGGAAACUGUAUUAAUGCUGGAUUAAUGUUUUAAGCCAUAACCAGGGCAAUAACUUUGACAGACUUAAAAUUGACCACUUGAUAGCUAGACCUAUAAAAAUCAAGAAUUAUUUCAAAAUUUAUCUUUCAGAAAAAAAUUAUUUAAAAGACGAUUAUGGAUAUUAAAACUUCUGAUUUUCUCAGUGAUGACUCUAUAGCUUCUUCAGAGAAAAGCAAGUUGUACUUGAUAUUUUUUUUCACAUUUCCUGAUUGCAACCCAUGAUGGAUUAGAGGAGAAAAUAGCUGCAAUACUCCCAAUGAUAAAUAGAAUAAAAUAUUUUAUUAAUGGGGACACAUGUUUCUGGGGAAAAAAAGAGAGGAGGAGAGUGGCAGGAGAGAUAAAAUUGGGCCCAGGCUGUACAGCUGGCAGGAGGCACACAGAACUGAACUUUUAAGAAGACGCAUUUAAAGAGGUGUGUACACAUAUAUGAAUGUGUGUGUGAGCAUGUGUUCUCAUGCCUACCUGUGUGUUUCUGCGGGGAGGGAGCUAACAUUUGGGAGUUUUAGAUGUGAUGGGCAUCGUGGUAAAAAGUGCUUCAUUUGCAUCAUUUCAUCCCUGAUAUUUCUAUAGCUCUUUGAAGUUCACAAAAUUCUUUCAUAUUUAUCAUCUCAUUUGAUUCUCCCAGCACUUCCAUAAAGUAUCAGUGUCCCAUUUUUAUAUAAACCCAUAAAGAGUGAAUAGUUUAAAUAAUUUUCCCAAGAUUGUAUAGAUCUUUAGAGAGAGAAGUAGGACUAAAAUAGAAAUGAGCCUCAAUUACAAAUCUGUUCAGACUAAACUCCAUGAUUUCCGUUACUUCAUUCAUAUCCAUGUACACACAUAAUUUAUUAAUUCUCCUCAGGGAGUAAACUAGGAUGAAUAAGUAAACUUUACUUUUCAGAUGUUAAAUCUCUAUUUUGAUCAGUGUUGAUAGACUUUUUUUCUGAAAUGUCAUAAUUCCUUUCCUGUCUUUGUAACAAAGUCUAUCCAUGAUCAUGAAUAUAUUCUUUAUAUUUUAUCAUGGGCACUUGGUGUAUUAAGUUGGAACUGAGUUUAUAUUAGAACCCUUUCUUCUUAAUUAAAUGGUCCACAUAUUUCAGAUUCUAUGAAAUUUGUGUUAUCAUUGUGUGAUUUCUGACUCUUAAUUAUUUAGCUGGUUCAUAUAACAUAU
Molecule: long non-coding RNA, 1706 nt
Filed under: Marmota monax (woodchuck)
Lineage: Eukaryota; Metazoa; Chordata; Mammalia; Rodentia; Sciuridae
Source: RNAcentral